RNAcentral lists this long non-coding RNA (602 nucleotides) under Setaria viridis. RNAcentral's name for it is "long non-coding RNA (SVIR_LNC001693)". Lineage: Eukaryota; Viridiplantae; Streptophyta; Magnoliopsida; Poales; Poaceae. The record is from RNAcentral.
UGCUGCGUAAAAGCUCUCUUGUGAUCCGCAAGAAGCAGCGCCGCCGCCGGAGCAUUGCCAGUCUUAGCCCUUGCUUGAAGCUUUAGCCCAUCCGCCCAAGUUCGCUUCGUUCCGACCCCAAGCCUUCCUUUCAGGAAGAAGGUGAGUUGCCGACCCCAGUCCGCCUCGCCCGACCCCUCAUAUCCGCCCGACCCCGGUUCCGUCUCGCCCGACCCUGUCUGUUCCGCCGACCCUUAUCCGCCUCGCCCGAGGGCUUGGCUGUGAUCUUUUUCUUCAACUCGAGGGUGUAUGUGUAAAACUUGGGAACCCUUCAACGCUUGCGUCUAAGGACCCCCAGUUAUCACAUCCUCUAGUUCAAGGGUCAGACCACUAGUUCCUUUCCUACCCUUACCUCUUGAUCAUCAUCAGCUCUUGAACCACCAUAACCUCCUGCUCCUUGUCGCGAGUUUCUGGGCUCAGGCGAGCCAGUGUUGCUGUUGAAAUAACCGUCUAUGCUAACCCUUGCAUUGCAUUCGUGUAGAGCUGCACCUCGCCGACGGCUUCUACGAGCUUCACCCGACGCCAGAAGAAGAAGCUGUAGCCGAGCUCCUGUCCUCCGAAGC